UGGGGAAUAUUGGGCAAUGGGCGAAAGCCUGACCCAGCAACGCCGCGUGAAGGAUGAAGUAUUUCGGUAUGUAAACUUCGAAAGAAUAGGAAGAAUAAAUGACGGUACUAUUUAUAAGCUCCGGCUAACUACGUGCCAGCAGCCGCGGUAAUACGUAGGGAGCAAGCGUUGUUCGGAUUUACUGGGCGUAAAGGGCGCGUAGGCGGCGCGGUAAGUCACUUGUGAAAUCUCUGAGCUUAACUCAGAACGGCCAAGUGAUACUGCAGUGCUAGAGUGCAGAAGGGGCAAUCGGAAUUCUUGGUGUAGCGGUGAAAUGCGUAGAUAUCAAGAGGAACACCUGAGGUGAAGACGGGUUGCCGGGCUGACACUGACGCUGAGGCGCGAAAGCU
Molecule: ribosomal RNA, 389 nt
Filed under: uncultured bacterium
Lineage: Bacteria
Description: bacterial SSU rRNA
Rfam family: Bacterial small subunit ribosomal RNA
Source: RNAcentral